This is a small nucleolar RNA of Pygocentrus nattereri (red-bellied piranha), 130 nucleotides long. Ensembl annotates it as Small nucleolar RNA SNORA69. NCBI's taxonomy places the organism in Eukaryota, Metazoa, Chordata, Actinopteri, Characiformes, Serrasalmidae. The record is from Ensembl.
AAAGCAGGACGCAAUUACAGUGCUUCAUUUUGUGGAAGUACUGCCAUUAUCCUGCUGAGAGUAACAGCCUGCUUUAGAGACCCAACUUAUCAUUCUUGUCUGAUACGAGGGCUCUUCAGCAGAGACAGCA